This 348-nucleotide long non-coding RNA is filed under the name Musa acuminata (dwarf banana). Its description in RNAcentral is "long non-coding RNA (MACU_LNC005100)". Lineage: Eukaryota; Viridiplantae; Streptophyta; Magnoliopsida; Zingiberales; Musaceae. The record is from RNAcentral.
CCUGGAAAUUCGCGAGCAUGAAGUUGGUCUUCUUCAUCUUGGAGGCAAGGGAGAGGCAGGCGAUAGAGAGCAACUGGAUGAUCCACGGCUUCUCUCUCUGCAGCAACCAGAGAUAUGAGGUCUGUUAGAUCAUGUAUUCCUCGAAAGAUUCGAUUCCUUACCUUUUCCUGUUUAUUCGAUUGUUGCAAUUCAUACCUGGAUUUUGCGCUUGGAUAGGAACCGAUCGAUGUAGUUGAUUGCGAGGUAAGCGACGAAGGGAUCCAGAUUGCAAUCGAACUGCGCCUGCCAACGGAGACAAAACGCCGCAAUGAUUGAAGCAGAGCGACGGUAACAAAAACAAGAUGCCUC